Ochotona princeps (American pika) is the source of this 296-nucleotide unclassified non-coding RNA. Its record names the gene 7SK. It matches the Rfam family "7SK RNA". From Rfam's summary of the family: 7SK was discovered as an abundant small nuclear RNA in the mid-70s but a possible function has only recently been suggested. Two independent studies have found that 7SK RNA binds the CDK9/cyclin T complex (known as elongation factor P-TEFb). Lineage: Eukaryota; Metazoa; Chordata; Mammalia; Lagomorpha; Ochotonidae. The record is from Ensembl.
AGAUGUGAGGGCAGUCUGGCUGCGACACCUGUCACCCCAUUGAUCGCCACGGUUGAUUCAGCUGAUCUUGUGGGCUAGGAGGGCGUCCCCUCUCUCCCUCACUACCCCAUGUGUAUCUCUUCUAAAGCUAAAUGCUUAAUUCAUGAGGACAACCACUCCCAGUAGAGGAGGACCAGUCCUUGGUCAAGGGUAUACAAGUAACUGUGCUUCCCCUGCUGGAACCUCCAAGCAAGCUUUCAAGAUCGGUAGAUAGAUAAGUAAAUGUAUAUAUACAUAUCUUCACUUAGAGGAACUGU